Molecule: ribosomal RNA, 515 nt
Filed under: uncultured soil bacterium
Lineage: Bacteria
Description: bacterial SSU rRNA
Rfam family: Bacterial small subunit ribosomal RNA
Source: RNAcentral
AGGACGAACGCUGGCGGCGCGCCUAACACAUGCAAGUCGAGCGAUAACCAGUCCUUCGGGACUGGGGACAGCGGCGAACGGAUGAGUAACACGUGGGUAAUCUACCCUCGGUUUCGGGAUAGCCCGGGGAAACCCGGAUUAAUACCGAAUGGCCUCUCAGGCUCUCGGGCUUGAGAGAAAAGGUAGCUUCGGCCUCUGACCGAGGAUGAGCCCGCGGCCGAUUAGCUAGUUGGUGGGGUAAUGGCCCACAAGGCGACGAUCGGUAGCUGGUCUGAGAGGACGAUCAGCCACACUGGGACUGAGACACGGCCCAGACUCCUACGGGAGGCAGCAGUGGGAAUCUGCGCAAGUGGGACGAAAGCCUGACGCAGCGACGCCGCGUGCGGGAAGAACGGCCGUUCGGGUGUAACCGUCUUUCGAGGAGGACGAGCCACGUCGGUUAAUACGCCGAGGAGGUCGACGGUACCUCCGAAGAACGAACGCCCCGGACUAACCGUACGUCGUACCGAGACCGA